UAGUUUUAUAAAUUAAAUAGUUUUUAUUUAUCUUACUUAACGGGCUUUUGAUUAAAUUCAGCAAUAUCAGAAAGCACUAUCACACACACACACACACACACACACACACACAUAUAUAUAUAUAUAUAUAUAUAUAUGGAGAUCUAGACUGACUAACAAGUGGCAGUUCAAUUAGUCUAUGUAUACAAAUAUGAAGAUUUGAUGCAGGACUAUCAUAACAUUUAAAGGCACUAAACAAAUAAGACACUUAAAACGCUAACAAACACAUCUCAUGUUUUGUUUUGAAAUAAAACACCAGUAAAAUCAGACAUUUCUGCUGCAGGAUGAUGUAAAUAAAUCUGGACCUCUGCCUCUGUGCCGUGCCUUUUCUCUUUAACCCACGUAGUGCCUCACUCUAAUGCGGUGGAGGGCUCUUUUUGUCGCAGGCCCCUUUCGCUUUGAGUGGGCUCUGCCUGAAAGGGAAGAGGAGGGGGCUUUUGUCCGAUCUGAUCCCUAACUAUUUGGGGGGCUCAGAUUGGUGUGAAAGGGACGAGAAGGUCACUCGAAAUCGCCUUUUAUCCGCUGCCAUUUUCUCUAUGGAUCAGCAACUUUCAAUGGCCAUCAUCUAAUCGCUCUUAAUGGAAAGCGUAGUCGAGAGAUGAGGAAAAUAUCUUAAACUAGCACACUUAGGACGGCUCUUUAAUAGAUAACACAACCAUGUGUAUUCAAAAUUAUUUAGUUUUUUUGUUUGUUUUUAUGAAAAGUUUAAGUUUAGUAUUUAGUUUUAGUAUUUAGAUUUCAGCACUUGUGGAAAUUAACAAUCAAUGAUUGAUUGUGUUUAACGGUUUACACACUAAAAUCAGAAAAAAAAAAUCAGAAACCUUGGAGGGAGUAUGGUCACUGUCACUAUUUUGGAAAAAUGCUAUUGGUCCAUUUAUCAAUAAAUUGUGACACAGUGUAAAGGACAGUUGGUUUGUUGAAAUUAUGUAGUAAUCUAAAAAUCGACAAAAAUGGAGAUACUUGUUUUUCAUUGGACAGCGACGGUAUGGUAUUGGUAUAACUGUGGUAAACAAAACGUAUAUUUUCAAGGUUUUUUAACCACCUCAAAGUGCAUUCUGAAAAAAACUACAUGUUUUGCAAUUCCUCACUCUUUGUCUUCCUUUUUGCCAGUAUUCAACUCCAAGGUAAUGUAUGCAACUGUAGGCUAUCUACUAUUACAGGUGUAAUAAAGCAAACCUUUUUAAUAGCACGCAAAGCAGGCGCUAAACGCACCUUCGUACACGUUCAUGCUGGAACUGGGAAAACCGCGCGCUUGCGAGGACAAAUGGGGGCGGAAUGGCUUUUCCAAUUAGCCCGCGGUAGGAGCUUUAGUGAGAGGGACUGUCAAUUUAUGCUGGAGGUAAUGGCUUUAUUGCUCACAAACCAUCAUCUAUUUGGAGCAUAUGUGCUAAUUGCACUGGACGGUCUCUGAGAGCAACAUCAUAAAUUCGACAGCAGUUAAAACAAGUCUGGACCUACAGCAAUUAGGCCAUCUUACACCUCUGGAAAACAGAGGCCAGGCGGCUCACGCAUGCGCAGCUCCACGGCCGCUAUUGCGGUUUUGACCAAUGGUUUUGGUAGGUUGGUUUCACCUUUGAAAGUCUGACCUUAGCAGGACACAGGUCAGCUCUGCUGAAAGGGAUGGAAUGGACCAGUUUUCCAACCUUAUGGCUUGAAGAAAGUUUCUGGAAGAACUUUUACAUUAUUUUAAUACAAACUAUUAAUGUGUUUUUGCAGGAAAACUGAAAAUGAAUAUAAUAAUUUAAAAUAACUGUUUUAAUAAAUUAUCCAACAUUUUGAUUCACUGAGGCGGUUGAAGAACACCCACUUAAUAAUCUUGAAUGGUUCCUGGCUUAAAUUAUUAUUGAGUAUGGAACCUUCACGCAUUCUAUUUAACACUGGCAACUUUCGUUUACAACAAUGGUUAUUUGAAUUAAAAUGUUUCUCCUCAGAAACUUCUGUGCUAUCUUUAUUUUUUACUCUACCCUCACAUUUAAGAAGAACUGAACCUACUGCAUAGGACAUAUUUUAUUUACAUUUAUUUAUUUUUUUUUAUUACAGAAUUAAUUUAAUAUUUUUAAUUUCCCAGCACUUCCUAAUUCUAUUCUUGCUUAGACAAACAAUCUAAACUUUGGAAAAUGUUACUAGUGAAAAGCCAUCAGUCGCAAACGCUUCCGUUUUCCUCCAAAGUCAAAACAGGACAGUGUGCUCUGGCGUGCUUUUCCAAGGGAUUCCCUGCUAUUAGUUUCAGGAAACUGCAGGGCAAAGGUAAGCGCGCACCAAAGCUUGUGGAAAUUUGCACGGAUUUACUGCACAUCCCCACAUGAUCAGCAGGAAGAGCGAGAAAGAGCACGGACAAAGCGCACUCUCGCAGUUUAUCUCCGCCAAAAAAGCAGACGUCGCAUUUUUCACUUCUCCCCCAGAUUUAAUUUUUUUUUACUCCUUUACUACUUUCAGCAGCAAAUCAGGAACUGGACCGCGCAUUUCAACGCAGUUAAUGGGUUAAAUCGUUUACAUCAGAUGCAGGACUCCGCGUGGAUGAGAGAUAAAGAAAGAAUGAAUAGCUUUUAGUAAGAGAAAAGUGCCAUUUUUAAAGAAGUGAAGCAUCACAGAGCCAUUAAUUAACAUCUUAUAAAGGGACAUUUUAAUGAGAUAUAUUUUAUUGGACUCGUAGUGAACAAUGCAUUUAGUUAGGGAUAACACACACACACACACACACACUGUAUCUCAUGUACCAUGGUAAAGUGACAUAUACAUAUACACGCACACACAGACACCUAUGUAGUCAGUCUAUUCAUCUAUAAUAUAUAUUGAUACGUUUUUAAUAAAUACUUUUUUGUAUUAUUAAUUAAUCAAAUUUGACACUAUGAGAAUGCAUAACUGCACUUAAUAAAGACAAGCAAGAAAACGGCUGUUUAAAAGUAAUUGAUUACAAAAAGGAUCGCAUCUUUCCAGGAACGCCACAUCAUUAGCUAAAGUGGUAACUGAGUCAUUUUAACUGUAGAUAGAUGGAGGUGUGUUGAGGCUUUAGGGCUAUCAUGGGUUUUCUGAGCGUGUGUGUGUGUGUCCAUGUAAAUUUGUUUAGCAAGCUGAGAUCUUCAGACCAAUCUAUGUAUUUUUUUUUUCAUUUUUUUUUAAUUAUUUCUUUUCUUCUUUAACACUGUUUGCAUCUAUGUCGGUAGCAUUUUUGGUUAUGGCAUGGAUUAAUUGUGUUGUUUAUCCUUAGUCUGAGUGGAAAACCAUGGCGUACACUAUGUGACCAAAGAUGACAUCUAACUACUCCUGACUACCUGAACAAUGAUUAUUGAGGCUAAUGACAGGCUUGGCUAACAGCGAAACUUGAGCAGCUGCAGGACAUUGAUCCAGUAUUAUUAUACAUGAUGUGGUCAUCAGCACAGAAGCAGGAAGUGGUUUGAUACAUCUCCAUUUAAUGUAUCUACGUAAGUAAGUGCCAACACACACUACUAGUGCACGCAUGUGGAAAAAGAAACACAGGAAGUGCUGUGCCUACAUCUCUGUUUAUGCUCUGUCCCUCUCCAUACUGAGUGUCCUCCGUCCCCUCUCUCUAUCAGCUCUAUCAGUCUCUGAGGGGAAAAGAAUGCAGCCGUCAUUCCUAAACACAAACAUUCCUCCAGGCUAGAUUCAUCAUAUGAAUUCGUCUUGUUUUAAAGCGCCAAAACAUUUUUUAACAAAGACAACACAAGGCUAAUUUAUUGGCCAGUAAGAAAAAGGCCAAGACUUUAAAAUUAUAUACAGCUCUGGAAAAAAAAGAGACAACUUCAGUUUCUGAAUCAAUUUGGCUAUUUAUAGAUAUAUGUUUAAGUAAAAUUAACAUUGUUGUUUUAUUCUAUAAACUACAGACAACAUUUCUCCCAAAUUCACAAUAAAAAUACUGUCAUUUAGAGCAUUUAUUUACAGAAAAUGAGAAAUGGCUGAAAUAACAAAAAAAAAAGAUGCAGAACUUUCAGAUCUCGAGUAAUGCAAAGAAAAAAGUUCAUAUUUAUAAAGUUUUAAGAGUUCAGAAAUCAAUAUUUGGUGGAAUAACCCUCUUUUUUAAUCACAAUUUCCACGCUUCUUGGCAUGUUCUCCUCCACAAGUCUUACACACUGCUUUUGGAUAACUUUAUGCCUUUACUCCUGGUGCAAAAAUUCAAGCAGUGCCUGAGUUCAGUUUGGUUUGAUGGCUUGUGAUCAUCCAUCUUUCUCUUGAUUAUAUUCCAGAGGUUUUCAGUUUGUAAAAUCAAAGAAACUUCAUUUUUGGUCUAUUAUUUUUUCCAGAGCUGUUUAUAUAAACAUUGUGUCAUUGAACACAAAAAUCCUAUACAUGCUUAAAUGGUUACAAAAGAACAAAAACAAAUCUAACUUAAUUUUGUAGUAAUUUUGUAGUAUUAUUCACAGAGUAUUAGAGUAUAAAUAAUGUCUCCUUUAGAUAAUAUCCUGAACAAAUGCAAUAAGCUUAUCCCUAUACAAAAAAACAUGUUUUAAUGUUUUUAAAUGCAGUGCAACAUGAUUUAUUGAAUUUUCUAUUGAAUUGAAAAGCAGUUUUCAAUGUUUCAAUGGAAGUUCAUGUAAAAAAAAAUAUUUUAAGUCAUUUUAAAGCAUUUCUAUUGGUCUGUUCACUAUGAAAUUUUGAUAUAAUGUAAAACAAGAUGCGAUACAAACAAUACAAGAAAGAAAUCAAGACUAAAUCAAAGACUAAUUUUAUGAUGAUUUCUGCUAUAUCUUUUUUUUUAUAUUCUAACUGUAAAUGCACAGUAUGCGACUCUAAGCAUCUCCUCUUAACACCAUUACUAAAUGCUAAUUGGCUUACUGGCUGUUCAUUGUUAUCGUUUGAUGUUAACGUCAUGUCUGCUCCAGCACUGAGAUUGAGUUGAUUCUGAUGCUAUUUGAUCACCUCACGUCCUCGACUCUUCCUUCUCCGGCUUCCUAGGCAGCUCCCCCAAGCCAGCAGGAACAAAAGCUAUUGCUGUUCAUCUAUCAGAGCAUGGUUAAAGGUAAGUGGCACCCUCUAUUAUGAUGACAAGGCAAGUAAUGGUACAGUCUGUCCCCUUGGUUCUGCAUUACUUAUUUAUAGGUUAACCCCUCCUUGUGGGUUUGGGCAAGCCUGCUUUUUUUUUUUUGGCUGCGUUUUCUGAGAGCUUGUGGGCGCCACAGGUGAUCGGGAACCAGAGAUUCCAGUGGAGAUAAAUAGAUAGAAUGAACUAGUGUGAAAGAAGCUGUAUUGCAUUGUUUAGGUCUAUGGAGUAAUGUACAGUAUAUCAUCACUACUGUCCAUGUUUUUGUUACAAUAUAUAAAAAAAAACUUUUACGAUAUUAAUUAUUAAUUGAAGACUUUAGCAUAGCUUGGGACUCAAUUUGUUUUAGACAUAUGAGGAAAAUAAGUCUCAUAACUCGAAAAUGGUGUUUUUCAAUCUUUCAGACGUAAUUUUCUUAACUAAUUUGGAGCAUUUCUAUUGGUCCAUUCACUUCGUAAAUAAAUCUCAAUAAUUAUGGAAAUUAUGGAUGAAUAAAUUAACAGAAUACUCUAAAAUAUUUGGAAUAAUGUAUAAAUAACCAUUUUUGAGAUACAUCUUUUUUUUUUCUUCAAUUGAGUAAUGAUAAUAUACUGCUGCUCUUAACUUUAAGUGGAUAUUUGGCCUACAGUUCAUUCUUGUUCUUGUACAGUUUUGUACAAUAUAUAAAGUACAAGUACAAUAUAUAAAGACUGCUGAUGCUAAAAUAAUCACUAUGUAUGUAUGUAUGUAUAAAUAGUAUAUAAUACAAUGUAAAUGAACAAUAAAAUACAAUACAAAUAAAUUGACGACAUAUA
Astyanax mexicanus (Mexican tetra) is the source of this 5826-nucleotide long non-coding RNA. RefSeq lists it as uncharacterized. The record is from RefSeq and is a predicted model, not a curated record. The transcript is spliced from 3 exons. NCBI's taxonomy places the organism in Eukaryota, Metazoa, Chordata, Actinopteri, Characiformes, Acestrorhamphidae.